AUUGAACGCUGGCGGCAGGCCUAACACAUGCAAGUCGAGCGGAUGAAGGGAGCUUGCUCCUGGAUUCAGCGGCGGACGGGUGAGUAAUGCCUAGGAAUCUGCCUGGUAGUGGGGGAUAACGUCCGGAAACGGGCGCUAAUACCGCAUACGUCCUGAGGGAGAAAGUGGGGGAUCUUCGGACCUCACGCUAUCAGAUGAGCCUAGGUCGGAUUAGCUAGUUGGUGGGGUAAAGGCCUACCGAGGCGACGAUCCGUAACUGGUCUGAGAGGAUGAUCAGUCACACUGGAACUGAGACACGGUCCAGACUCCUACGGGAGGCAGCAGUGGGGAAUAUUGGACAAUGGGCGAAAGCCUGAUCCAGCCAUGCCGCGUGUGUGAAGAAGGUCUUCGGAUUGUAAAGCACUUUAAGUUGGGAGGAAGGGCAGUAAGUUAAUACCUUGCUGUUUUGACGUUACCAACAAAAUAAGCACCGGCUAACUUCGUG
RNAcentral lists this ribosomal RNA (484 nucleotides) under uncultured bacterium. Its description in RNAcentral is "partial 16S ribosomal RNA". It matches the Rfam family "Bacterial small subunit ribosomal RNA", at positions 30 to 507 of the family's 1533-position model. The record is from RNAcentral.